This 440-nucleotide ribosomal RNA is filed under the name uncultured bacterium. RNAcentral's name for it is "partial 16S ribosomal RNA". It matches the Rfam family "Bacterial small subunit ribosomal RNA", at positions 338 to 795 of the family's 1533-position model. The record is from RNAcentral.
CCUACGUGUGGCAGCAGUGGGGAAUAUUUGGCAAUGGGCGCAAGCCUGACCCAGCAACGCCGCGUGAAGGAAGAAGGCUUUCGGGUUGUAAACUUCUUUUGUUAGAGAAGAUAAUGACGGUAUCUAACGAAUAAGCACCGGCUAACUCCGUGCCAGCAGCCGCGGUAAUACGGAGGGUGCAGGCGUUACUCGGAAUCACUGGGCGUAAGGAGCGCGUAGGCGGGAGAGCAAGUCAGAUGUGAAAUCCUAUGGCUUAACCAGAGAAGUGCAUUUGAAACUGUUAUUCUAGAGUAUGGGAGAGGUAGGUGGAAUGCGUGGUGUAGGGGUAAAAUGCGUAGAGAUCAAGAGGAAUACUCAUUGCGAAGGCGACCUGCUAGAACAUAACUGACGCUGAUGCGCGAAAGCGUGGGGAGCAAACAGGAUUAGAGACCCGUGUAGUC